AUAGCUCUGUAGUAUAGUUCAAGGUCUGGUAUUGUGAUGCCUCUUGCUUCACUUUUCUUGCUAAGGAUUGCUUUAGCUAUUCUGGGUCUCUUAUUUUUCCAAAUAAAUUUUAUGAUUGCCUUUUCUAUUUCUAUGAAGAAUGUCAUUGGGAUUUUAAUAGGAAUUGCAUUAAAUCUGUAUAAUGAUUUUGGUAGUAUGGCCAUUUUGACAAUAUUAAUUCUGCCUGUC
This 228-nucleotide long non-coding RNA is filed under the name Marmota monax (woodchuck). The record is from RNAcentral. Lineage: Eukaryota; Metazoa; Chordata; Mammalia; Rodentia; Sciuridae.